RNAcentral lists this ribosomal RNA (355 nucleotides) under uncultured bacterium. Its description in RNAcentral is "bacterial SSU rRNA". It matches the Rfam family "Bacterial small subunit ribosomal RNA", at positions 29 to 407 of the family's 1533-position model. The record is from RNAcentral.
AACGAACGCUGGCGGCAGGCUUAACACAUGCAAGUCGAACGGGCGCGAGCAAUCGCGUCAGUGGCAGACGGGUGAGUAACACGUGGGAACCUUCCUAGGGGUACGGAACAACUCAGGGAAACUUGAGCUAAUACCGUAUACGUCCGUAAGGAGAAAGAUUCAUCGCCCCUAGACGGGCCCGCGUCGGAUUAGCUAGUUGGUGGGGUAACGGCCUACCAAGGCGACGAUCCGUAGCUGANCUGAGAGGAUGAUCAGCCACACUGGGACUGAGACACGGCCCAGACUCCUACGGGAGGCAGCAGUGGGGAAUCUUGGACAAUGGGCGCAAGCCUGAUCCAGCCAUGCCGCGUGAAUG